Molecule: transfer RNA, 76 nt
Filed under: Mobiluncus curtisii
Lineage: Bacteria; Bacillati; Actinomycetota; Actinomycetes; Actinomycetales; Actinomycetaceae
Also listed under: 8 other names
Description: tRNA-Glu
Rfam family: tRNA
About the family: Transfer RNA (tRNA) molecules are approximately 80 nucleotides in length. Their secondary structure includes four short double-helical elements and three loops (D, anti-codon, and T loops). Further hydrogen bonds mediate the characteristic L-shaped molecular structure. tRNAs have two regions of fundamental functional importance: the anti-codon, which is responsible for specific mRNA codon recognition, and the 3' end, to which the tRNAs corresponding amino acid is attached (by aminoacyl-tRNA synthetases). tRNAs cope with the degeneracy of the genetic code in two manners: having more than one tRNA (with a specific anti-codon) for a particular amino acid; and 'wobble' base-pairing, i.e. permitting non-standard base-pairing at the 3rd anti-codon position.
Source: RNAcentral
GCCCCCAUCGUCUAGCGGCCUAGGACAUCGCCCUCUCACGGCGGUAACACCGGUUCAAAUCCGGUUGGGGGUACCA